RNAcentral lists this ribosomal RNA (478 nucleotides) under uncultured bacterium. RNAcentral's name for it is "partial 16S ribosomal RNA". It matches the Rfam family "Bacterial small subunit ribosomal RNA", at positions 28 to 507 of the family's 1533-position model. The record is from RNAcentral.
GACGAACGCUGGUGGCGUGCUUAACACAUGCAAGUCGAACGGGAUUUCGUAAACAGAAGCCUCGGUGGAAGAUUACUAAUGAGAGUGGCGAACGGGUGAGUAACGCGUGAGCAACCUGCCUAUGUCAGUGGGAUAGCCUCGGGAAACCGGGAUUAAUACCGCAUCAAAUCGUAGAAACACAUGUUUUAACGGUCAAGGAUUUAUCGGUCAUAGAUGGGCUCGCGUCUGAUUAGCUAGUUGGUGAGAUAACAGCCCACCAAGGCGACGAUCAGUAGCCGGGCGGAGAGGAGGAAAGGCCAGAUUGGAGCUGAGACACAGACCAAAACCCGACGGAAGGGAGCAGUAGGGAAUAUUACACAAUGAGGGAAACCCUGAUGCAGCGACGCCGCGUGAACGAAGAAGGUAUUCGUAUCGUAAAGUUCUGUCCGAUGAGAAGAGAAUGACAGUACCAGAGAAGAAAGCACCGGCUAAAUACGUG